This 370-nucleotide ribosomal RNA is filed under the name uncultured eukaryote. RNAcentral's name for it is "SSU rRNA". It matches the Rfam family "Eukaryotic small subunit ribosomal RNA", at positions 587 to 969 of the family's 1831-position model. The record is from RNAcentral.
AGCUCCAAUAGCGUAUAUUAAAGUUGUUGCAGUUAAAAAGCUCGUAGUUGGAUUUCUGGUAGAAGGUUAGAGCGCACCUGUGUGAGGCUCGCGUCUUCUGCCAUCCUUCUGUUAACCUUUCAUGGCAUUGACUUGUCGGUUAGGGGCUCAGAUAUUUUACCUUGAGAAAAUUAGAGUGUUUCAGGCAGGCUUGUGCCCGGAUACAUUAGCAUGGAAUAAUGGAAUAGGACUUCGGCCUCUUCUGUUGGUCUGAGGGGUUGGAGUAAUGAUUAAUAGGGAUAGUUGGGGGCAUUAGUACUUAACUGUCAGAGGUGAAAUUCUCGGAUUUGUUAAAGACUAACUUAUGCGAAAGCAUUUGCCAAGGAUGUUU